GCUGGUGAAGGUCGGCGUCGUGGAGCAGAACUUCCUGUCCACCUCAGUCGACUCUGAUGACAUCACACUGGGAUCUCCUCCCUCACAGUCAGCCGCACCAAUCAGCAUCGCCUCCACACCUCCCCCCUCCCCCUCCAUGAGCUGUCCAGGGGAGGUGAUGGGUCUGCAGGUGGACUACUGGAGCAGUCAGGUUGGAGGAGCUGGAGGAGGAGGUGGAGGAGGAGAGAGGAGGAAGGAGGUGGGGAUGAAGAACACACUGAAGAGCAACUUCCGAAGUCUUCAGGUGUCGAGGAUCAGCGGAGGAGAACUGAUGAGCAUGACGGUGGUGACAAAGGAGAAGAACA
This is a long non-coding RNA of Larimichthys crocea (large yellow croaker), 344 nucleotides long. RefSeq lists it as uncharacterized. The record is from RefSeq and is a predicted model, not a curated record. The transcript has 3 exons. NCBI's taxonomy places the organism in Eukaryota, Metazoa, Chordata, Actinopteri, Sciaenidae.